RNAcentral lists this ribosomal RNA (547 nucleotides) under uncultured bacterium. Its description in RNAcentral is "partial 16S ribosomal RNA". It matches the Rfam family "Bacterial small subunit ribosomal RNA", at positions 355 to 895 of the family's 1533-position model. The record is from RNAcentral.
UGGGGAAUUUUGGACAAUGGGCGAAAGCCUGAUCCAGCAAUGCCGCGUGUGUGAAGAAGGCCUUCGGGUUGUAAAGCACUUUUGUCCGGAAAGAAAUCCUUGGCUCUAAUACAGUCGGGGGAUGACGGUACCGGAAGAAUAAGCACCGGCUAACUACGUGCCAGCAGCCGCGGUAAUACGUAGGGUGCAAGCGUUAAUCGGAAUUACUGGGCGUAAAGCGUGCGCAGGCGGUUUGCUAAGACCGAUGUGAGAUCCCCGGGCUCAACCUGGGAACUGCAUUGGUGACUGGCAGGCUAGAGUAUGGCAGAGGGGGGUAGAAUUCCACGUGUAGCAGUGAAAUGCGUAGAGAUGUGGAGGAAUACCGAUGGCGAAGGCAGCCCCCUGGGCCAAUACUGACGCUCAUGCACGAAAGCGUGGGGAGCAAACAGGAUUAGAUACCCUGGUAGUCCACGCCCUAAACGAUGUCAACUAGUUGUUGGGGAUUCAUUUCCUUAGUAACGUAGCUAACGCGUGAAGUUGACCGCCUGGGGAGUACGGUCGCAAGAUU